This 429-nucleotide ribosomal RNA is filed under the name Gemmatimonadota bacterium. RNAcentral describes it as "Gemmatimonadetes bacterium partial 16S ribosomal RNA". It matches the Rfam family "Bacterial small subunit ribosomal RNA", at positions 355 to 776 of the family's 1533-position model. Lineage: Bacteria; Pseudomonadati; Gemmatimonadota. The record is from RNAcentral.
UAGGGAAUCUUCGGCAAUGGACGAAAGUCUGACCGAGCAACGCCGCGUGAGUGAAGAAGGUUUUCGGAUCGUAAAACUCUGUUGUUAGAGAAGAACAAGGACGUUAGUAACUGAACGUCCCCUGACGGUAUCUAACCAGAAAGCCACGGCUAACUACGUGCCAGCAGCCGCGGUAAUACGUAGGUGGCAAGCGUUGUCCGAAUUUAUUGGGCGUAAAGCGAGCGCAGGCGGUUUCUUAAGUCUGAUGUGAAAGCCCCCGGCUCAACCGGGGAGGGUCAUUGGAAACUUGGAGACUUGAGUGCAGAAGAGGAGAGUGGAAUUCCAUGUGUAGCGGUGAAAUGCGUAGAUAUAUGGAGGAACACCAGUGGCGAAGGCGGCUCUCUGGUCUGUAACUGACGCUGAGGCUCGAAAGCGUGGGGAGCAAACAGG